Molecule: ribosomal RNA, 428 nt
Filed under: uncultured bacterium
Lineage: Bacteria
Description: partial 16S ribosomal RNA
Rfam family: Bacterial small subunit ribosomal RNA
Source: RNAcentral
GUAGGGAAUAUUGCGCAAUGGACGAAAGUCUGACGCAGCGACGCCGCGUGAGUGAUGAAGGCCUUAGGGUCGUAAAGCUCUGUUGAAUGGGAAGAAAAAAAUGACGGUACCAUUCGAGGAAGGACCGGCUAACUUCGUGCCAGCAGCCGCGGUAAUACGAGGGGUCCUAGCGUUGUUCGGAAUCAUUGGGCGGAAAGGGUGUGUAGGUGGCCAUGUAAGUCAGGUGUGAAAGCCCCGGGCUCAACCCGGGAAGUGCACUUGAUACUGCGUGGCUUGAGUACCGAAGAGGGUAGUGGAAUUCCAGGGGUAGUGGUGAAAUACGUAGAUAUCUGGAGGAACACCGGUGGCGAAGGCGGCUACCUGGUCGAGUACUGACACUGAGACACGAAAGCAUGGGGAUCAAACAGGAUUAGAUACCCUGGUAGUCC